UACGGAGGGAGCUAGCGUUGUUCGGAAUUACUGGGCGUAAAGCGCACGUAGGCGGCGAUUCAAGUCAGAGGUGAAAGCCCGGGGCUCAACCCCGGAACUGCCUUUGAAACUAGAUUGCUUGAAUCCUGGAGAGGUGAGUGGAAUUCCGAGUGUAGAGGUGAAAUUCGUAGAUAUUCGGAAGAACACCAGUGGCGAAGGCGACUCACUGGACAGGUAUUGACGCUGAGGUGCGAAAGCGUGGGGAGCAAACAGG
RNAcentral lists this ribosomal RNA (253 nucleotides) under uncultured bacterium. RNAcentral describes it as "partial 16S ribosomal RNA". It matches the Rfam family "Bacterial small subunit ribosomal RNA", at positions 524 to 776 of the family's 1533-position model. The record is from RNAcentral.